RNAcentral lists this ribosomal RNA (102 nucleotides) under Pseudomonas putida. Lineage: Bacteria; Pseudomonadati; Pseudomonadota; Gammaproteobacteria; Pseudomonadales; Pseudomonadaceae. The record is from RNAcentral.
CAUUGGAACCACCUGAUCCCAUCCCGAACUCAGCAGUGAAACGAUGCAUCGCCGAUGGUAGUGUGGGGCUUCCCCAUGUGAGAGUAGGUCAUCGUCAAGAUU